CCCAAUUUCCUGCAGCAGCAAUGAGUGAGCGGCCCUCCAAAAUUAGAAAACCUAAAUCCCCAAAACGUAAUGGUAAUGCCCAAUCCUCAAUGGCGCGAAAAUCUUCUAUUCUCAAACAAACCCUAGUUUUUUCUGCUUUCUCUAUCCUCGCCAUCUACGCCCUCUUCAACACUUUCUUCAAUCCCACCACUUCCCCUUCCACCUCCUUAUUCGACGAACAUUUUUCUCCAGACAGCUUUGGCUUUUCCGGUAAAGUGACGGAAAAUGAUGCCCAG
Molecule: unclassified non-coding RNA, 275 nt
Filed under: Hevea brasiliensis (rubber tree)
Lineage: Eukaryota; Viridiplantae; Streptophyta; Magnoliopsida; Malpighiales; Euphorbiaceae
Source: RNAcentral